AACACAUGCAAGUCGAGGGGCAGCAUGGUCUUAUCUUGCUAAGGCCGAUGGCGACCGGCGCACGGGUGAGUAACACGUAUCCAACCUGCCGUCUACUCUUGGACAGCCUUCUGAAAGGAAGAUUAAUACAAGAUGGCAUCAUGAGUCCGCAUGUUCACAUGAUUAAAGGUAUUCCGGUAAACGAUGGGGAUGCGUUCCAUUAGAUAGUAAGCGGGGUAACGGCCCACCUAAUCUUCGAUGGAUAGGGGUUCUGAGAGGAAGGUCCCCCACAUUGGAACUGAGACACGGUCCAAACUCCUACGGGAGGCAGCAGUGAGGAAUAUUGGUCAAUGGGCGAGAGCCUGAACCAGCCAAGUAGCGUGAAGGAUGACUGCCCUAUGGGUUGUAAACUUCUUUUAUAAAAGAAUAAAGUCGGGUAUGGAUACCCGUUUGCAUGUACUUUAUGAAUAAGGAUCGGCUAACUCCGUGCCAGCAGCCGCGGUAAUACGGAGGAUCCGAGCGUUAUCCGGAUUUAUUGAGUUUAAAGGGAGCGUAGAUGGAUGUUUAAGUCAGUUGUGAAAGUUUGCGGCUCAACCGUAAAAUUGCAGUUGAUACUGGAUAUCUUGAGUGCAGUUGAGGCAAGCGGAAUUCGUGGUGUAGCGGUGAAAUGCUUAGAUAUCACGAACAACUCCGAUUGCGAAGGCAGCCUGCUAAGCUGCAACUGACAUUGAGGCUCGAAAGUGUGGGUAUCAAACAGGAUUAGAUACUCUGGUAGUCCACACGGUAAACGAUGAAUACUCGCUGUUUGCGAUAUACUGCAAGCGGCCAAGCGAAAGCGUUAUGUAUUCCACGUGGGGAGUACGCCGGCAACGGUGAAACUCAAAGGAAUUGACGGGGGCCCGCACAAGCGGAGGAACAUGUGGUUUAAUUCGAUGAUACGCGAGGAACCUUAUCCGGGCUUAAAUUGCAGAUGAAUUACGGUGAAAGCCUUAAGCCGCAAGGCAUCUGUGAAGGUGAUGCAUGGUUGUAGUCAGCUUGUGCCGUGAGGUGUCGGAUUAAGUGCCAUAACGAGCGCAACCCUUGUUGUCAGUUACUAACAGGUUUUGGUGAGGACUCUGACAAGACAUGCCAUGGUAAGAUGUGAGGAAGGUGGGGAUGAUGUCAAAUCAGCACGGCCCUUACGUCCGGGGCUACACACGUGUUACAAUGGGGGGUACAGAGGGCCGCUACCACGCGAGUGGAUGCCAAUCCCCAAAACCUCUCUCAGUUCGGACUGGAGUCUGCAACCCGACUUCACGAAGCUGGAUUCGCUAGUAAUCGCGCAUCAGCCACGGCGCGGUGAAUACGUUCCCGGGCCUUGUACACACCGCCCGUCAAGCCAUGGGAGCCGGGGGUACCUGAAGUGCGUAACCGCGAGGAGCGCCCUAGGGUAAAACUGGUGACUGGGGCUAAGUCAUAAC
Molecule: ribosomal RNA, 1439 nt
Filed under: uncultured organism
Description: SSU rRNA
Rfam family: Bacterial small subunit ribosomal RNA
Source: RNAcentral